UUGCCCACGUUAAUGUAGCUCCAGGUA
This 27-nucleotide non-coding RNA is filed under the name Mus musculus (house mouse). The record is from RNAcentral. Lineage: Eukaryota; Metazoa; Chordata; Mammalia; Rodentia; Muridae.